UUCUUCUUUAUUCUAGUUUUCUCUUUUUUUGUGAAUAAUUGUUUUUUUCUAGUGAUGCUGGAUGUAUGACUGGGAAGCAUUGGGAGAUGGAUAUGUGCUCUGUUUUUCUGUGUGUCAAGUGGACUUUCGUCAAGCAGUACGAUGAAGGUGGUUAGAGGCUCAGAGUGACAUCUACUCAAGAUACACUUACGAAUAUGCUGAUGUAUGGUGGAUGCUAUAUCUACUGAAAUUGACAAGUUCUCCCUUCCCUGAGCAGUCAGUAAGUAUGGCAUUUGACAAGGAUGCGACAUCCAUACUAGUUGUAUAGAUCUCGGCUUUACUAGUCAAUUCUCUGUCGACGAGGUCAGAUGCCCUAACCAACUAGUCAUGUAAACCAUCUACAACCCCCUGCUUAUUUUAGCAACAACGAGAACAGAAAACAAGUUCAAGAGAAAAUCAUGGUAGCAUUGGCACCGUGGGCAAGGCAUCGUUGUCCCAUGUGAGGUGGUAGUGACUACGAUACUAACUGAAACUAAGUGUUAACAUCAGAUUUUAGCAAAUCGCCGCUAUGGAUUAAUCUGUGAAUAAAGACCGAAUCAGAUAAGAAACAGGGCAAUCAGAUAGGAGACCAGGCAGAAUACGACUCGCAUUCAGCCAAUGGAGUCCGGAUUGGAUAAUAGAUAGAGUCCGAUUAGGCCUAGAAUGUUACAGAUAAAUUCAGAAAUAAUCAGAGUCCGUGUAAUUUAAUUAUAUCUAUUAGUUAGAGUUAGUUUAGAUUUUUCAUUUACCUCUAAGGGAGUUACAGUCCGAUCGG
RNAcentral lists this long non-coding RNA (793 nucleotides) under Oryza brachyantha (malo sina). RNAcentral describes it as "long non-coding RNA (OBRA_LNC001838)". The record is from RNAcentral. Lineage: Eukaryota; Viridiplantae; Streptophyta; Magnoliopsida; Poales; Poaceae.